RNAcentral lists this ribosomal RNA (498 nucleotides) under uncultured bacterium. RNAcentral describes it as "partial 16S ribosomal RNA". It matches the Rfam family "Bacterial small subunit ribosomal RNA", at positions 28 to 508 of the family's 1533-position model. The record is from RNAcentral.
GAUGAACGCUGGCGGCGUGCCUAAUACAUGCAAGUCGAGCGAACAGACGAGGAGCUUGCUCCUCUGACGUUAGCGGCGGACGGGUGAGUAACACGUGGAUAACCUACCUAUAAGACUGGGAUAACUUCGGGAAACCGGAGCUAAUACCGGAUAAUAUAUUGAACCGCAUGGUUCAAUAGUGAAAGACGGUUUUGCUGUCACUUAUAGAUGGAUCCGCGCCGCAUUAGCUAGUUGGUAAGGUAACGGCUUACCAAGGCGACGAUGCGUUGCCGACCUGAUGGGGUGGUCCGCCCACAUUGGAACUGAAACCCGGCCCAGCCCCCUCGGGGAGCGACAAGGGGGGAUUCUCCCAAAAGGGGCGAAACCCUGACGGACAAACGCGGCGUGAGAGAGAAAGUUUUCGGGAUCUAAAACCUUUUUUAUGGGGAAAAAAAAAAUGUGAAAGAAAAUAUGCACGCUUUGAGGUGCCUUAAUCAGAAAGCCACGGCUAACUCCGGC